Molecule: ribosomal RNA, 330 nt
Filed under: Triticum aestivum (bread wheat)
Lineage: Eukaryota; Viridiplantae; Streptophyta; Magnoliopsida; Poales; Poaceae
Description: partial small subunit ribosomal RNA
Source: RNAcentral
AUGGCAAGUGUUGUUUUUAGUGACAAUUUUACUUACUUUUUCCAUGGCAAUUUUUUCUUCUUGACAUGGCAAAUUUACCUAUGUUACCACGGCAAUAUAGUACCUUUAAAUGACAAAAAAAUAUGGAAAAAAUUUCUUUUAAUUUGCCAUGGCAAUUUUUACUAUAUUGACAUGGCAAAUUUAAUUAUAAUGCCAUGUCAAUUACUUUUUAACCUCCUUUUUUCUGUGAGAUUUUUACUUUUUUUCCGUGGCAAAUUUUACCUUUUUCACAUGGCAAAAUUACCUACAUUGCCACUGCAAUCUUUAGCUUUUGCAUACAUGUCAAUAUAA